Molecule: ribosomal RNA, 509 nt
Filed under: uncultured bacterium
Lineage: Bacteria
Description: partial 16S ribosomal RNA
Rfam family: Bacterial small subunit ribosomal RNA
Source: RNAcentral
GGCGAACGCUGGCGGCAUGCUUAACACAUGCAAGUCGAACGAAGGGCCACUAAAGCUUGCUUCUAUCGAUCUUAGUGUCGAGCGGGUGAGUAACGCGUAAUCAACCUUCCCUUCAGAGGGGGGCAACAGUUGGGAACGACUGCUAAUACCGCAUACGGUCUAAUCUCUGCAUCGAGGGGAUAUUAGAACUUUGCUCGACAUAUAGACUAUCACUGGGGUAAGGUAUUUCGUCUGAUUAGCUAGUUGGAGGGGUAAAGGCCCACCAAGGCGAGGAUCCGUAGCCGGUCUGAGAGGAUGAACAGCCACACUGGAACUGAGACACGGCCCAGACUCCUACGGGAGGCAGCAGUGGGGAAUAUUCCGCAAUGGACGCAAGUCUGACGGAGCAAUGCCGCGUGAGUGAUGAAGGCCUUCGGGUUGUAAAGCUCUGUUAUUCGGGACGAAAGGCAUCAUUGCGAAUAGUGAGAAGGAUGGCCGGAACCGGAAUAGAAAGCCAGGGUUACCUACGU